CGUCAAAUCAUCAUGCCCUUUAUGUCCUGGGCUACACACGUGCUACAAUGGCCUGUACAGAGGGAAGCGAAAGGGUGACCUGGAGCGAAUCCCAAAAAGCAGGUCUCAGUUCGGAUUGCAGGCUGCAACCCGCCCUGCCAUGAAGUCGGAAUCGCUAGUAAUCGCAGGUCAGCAUACUGUGGUGAAUACGUUCCCGGGUCUU
RNAcentral lists this ribosomal RNA (202 nucleotides) under uncultured Desulfotomaculum sp. Its description in RNAcentral is "partial 16S ribosomal RNA". It matches the Rfam family "Bacterial small subunit ribosomal RNA", at positions 1183 to 1382 of the family's 1533-position model. Lineage: Bacteria; Bacillati; Bacillota; Clostridia; Eubacteriales; Desulfotomaculaceae. The record is from RNAcentral.